This 479-nucleotide ribosomal RNA is filed under the name uncultured bacterium. RNAcentral describes it as "partial 16S ribosomal RNA". It matches the Rfam family "Bacterial small subunit ribosomal RNA", at positions 28 to 507 of the family's 1533-position model. The record is from RNAcentral.
GAUGAACGCUGGCGGCGUGCUUAACACAUGCAAGUCGAGCGAGAAGUUUUGAAAAGAUUCUUCGGAUGAAAUUUAAAAUGGAAAGCGGCGGACGGGUGAGUAACGCGUAGGCAACCUGCCCCAUACAAAGGGAUAGCAUUUGGAAACGAAUAUUAAUACCUUAUGAAACUUAACUAGUGCAUGCUAGGUAGGUCAAAGAUUUAUCGGUAUGGGAUGGGCCUGCGUCUGAUUAGCUAGUUGGUGAGGUAACGGCUCACCAAGGCGACGUUCAGUAGCCGACCUGAGAGGGUGAACGGCCACAUUGGAACUGAGACACGGUCCAAACUCCUACGGGAGGCAGCAGUGGGGAAUAUUGCACAAUGGGGGAAACCCUGAUGCAGCAACGCCGCGUGAACGAUGUAGGCCUUUGGGUCGUAAAGUUCUGUUCUAGGUGAUGAAAACUGACAGUAACCUAGCAGAAAGCCCCGGCUAACUCCGUG